AUGGAUUGCGGUUCUGCUAACUUCUGUUUUAUUUGCAUUUGUUUUCAGGGUACAUUAAACUGUCUCCCUCAUCAACCCCCAGUGGGUCAAAUUAAGACCCCUGUCCAGUGUGUGGAGAACCCUAAAGGAUUGGGUGGGGUGAUAAUAAAUGACCGGGAGAUGUUUGCAAUGAACAAACAACACUUGGUAGCAGUUCUUCUCUCUAGAGGUGAAAAACUCUGUCAGACCAGUUCUGUUGCAAGUGAAGACGAUAAAGAGAAACGCCUCCCAAGACCUUAACAUCUCACCUUUUAUACUUCAAAUAAAGGUCUUUUACCAUCAUCUGUGUCUUCUGUC
Cyprinus carpio (common carp) is the source of this 336-nucleotide long non-coding RNA. The record is from Ensembl. NCBI's taxonomy places the organism in Eukaryota, Metazoa, Chordata, Actinopteri, Cypriniformes, Cyprinidae.